RNAcentral lists this small RNA (1229 nucleotides) under Arabidopsis thaliana (thale cress). Its description in RNAcentral is "ATSL235900". Lineage: Eukaryota; Viridiplantae; Streptophyta; Magnoliopsida; Brassicales; Brassicaceae. The record is from RNAcentral.
GUGAUUUAAUAUCUAAACUUACAGAAAAAUGUCAAAUCGACCAUAUUAAUCGUGAAAAAUGUUAUUAUUAGGGAAAAAUGUUAUUUAAUACCUAAACUUACAAAAAAUGGCCAAAUUAACCGUGAACUCGUGAAAUGGCCGUUUUAUCUCUCAACAAAAAGUUGACUUCUAUUUUAACUUUUAAGUUUGCGUUGACUCGGGCUAAUAAACCACCGUUAAAAAUUCUUCUAACAGCGUAAUUAACAGCCGUUACAGAACAUCCGUUAAGGUGAUACGAUGACGUUUUGUGCUAAAGAGAAAUCAAAAUCGAGAAUAGAAAUUCCCAAAACAAAAUCAAUUACCCUAAACCCAAAUCGAAACCUAAUCCUGCCCCCAAAAUCAAAAUCGAAACCCUAAUUGCUUCAAUUCGUUUUCUGAAAUGCCAUUAGUUAGAAAGAAUGGCGUCGUUAUGAGGAUUGGAUCUCCAAUGCUUCACGAAUCAGAGAAUUUGGUGGGAGAUGGAGUCGAAGCACCACCGCGAGGAGAAAGAGAUGAAAUUGGAGAAGAAGUUGGGGGUGAAACGAAUGUGGUAUCUGAGUCUUGUGGCGGAGAAGAGGGAGCACAAGAUGCAGCUAAAACAACGCCGGAAGGAGAAGCAGAUCGAAUUUGAGAGAGAAUGAUUUUUAGGAUUUGGGUUUUGAUUUGGAGAUUUUUCAGAGGUUUCGUCGACUUUGAAGUCUGUUGAUAGCACAAAACGUCAUCGUAUCACCUUAACGGAUGUUCUGUAACGGCUGUUAAUUACGCUGUUAGAAGGAUUUUUAACGGUGGUUUAUUAAACCGAGUCAACGCAAACUUAAAGGUUAAAAUAGAAGUCAACUUUUUGUUGAGAGAUAAAACGGCCAUUUCACGAAUUCACGGUUAAUUUGGCCAUUUUUUGUAAGUUCAGGUAUUAAAUAACAUUUCCCCCCUAAUUAUUAGGUGAGUAAUACGGAGAAAAUGGACUUUAAUUAUAUUCGUAAAUUGAUGUUCACACAUUAAGGCUCUAACUAAAUCUUCCGAUUAUUGUCAUAUAAACAUGUUCUAAUUUGUGAUAAAACUGAACUUCCACUGUCUCGCAGAGAAGGGAAAGAAUAUUUUGGGAGAACAACUAAAACCCUAAUAUCUAUGAUGAUGUCAACUUCAAAACACAUUGAAACUUGAGAAAAACAAAAAUCAAAGAAAAUAAAAAUAAAGCCUGCAUGCAAGAGAAU